Molecule: ribosomal RNA, 253 nt
Filed under: uncultured bacterium
Lineage: Bacteria
Description: partial 16S ribosomal RNA
Rfam family: Bacterial small subunit ribosomal RNA
Source: RNAcentral
UACGAAGGGGGCUAGCGUUGCUCGGAAUCACUGGGCGUAAAGGGAGCGUAGGCGGGUCUUUAAGUCAGGGGUGAAAUCCUGGAGCUCAACUCCAGAACUGCCUUUGAUACUGAAGAUCUUGAGUUCGGGAGAGGUGAGUGGAACUGCGAGUGUAGAGGUAAAAUUCGUAGAUAUUCGCAAGAACACCAGUGGCGAAGGCGGCUCACUGGCCCGAUACUGACGCUGAGGCACGAAAGCGUGGGGAGCAAACAGG